GUCAAAUACACAUGGUUAGCAGAUGUUAAUGCGAGUGUAGCGAAAUGCUUGUGCUUCUAGUUCCAACAAUGCAGUAAUAUCUAACAAGUAAUCUAACAAUUUCACAACAACUACCUUAUACACACAAGUGUAAAGGAAUGAAUAAGAAUAUGUACAUAUAAAUAUAUGGAUGAGCGAUGGUCGUCCCGCAUAUGCAAGAAGAGUAGAUGGUAUAGAAUAGAGUAUAUACAUAUGAGAUGAGUAAUGUAGGGUAAGUAAACAUGAUAUAAAGUGGCAUUGAUUAGUCCCAUUUUUUACUAUUAUUGUGGCGAGAGAGUUAAGUCAGUAUGUUGGCAGCAGCCACUCAAUGUUAGUGGUGGCUGUUUAACAGUCUGAUGGCCUUGAGAUAGAAGCUGUUUUUCAGUCUUUCUGUCCCCGCUUUGAUGCACCUGUACUGACCUCGCCUUCUGGAUGAUAGUGGGGUGAACAGGCGGUGGCUCGGGUGGAUGUUGUCCUUGAUGAAUUCAAUACAUUUUUAUCCCACUUUGUAGCACAACAAAAUCUGGAAAAAGUAAAUGUGUCAGUCGUGUGUAUCGGUGGCAAGGAAGUCAGGCGCAGGAGUGUAAAACGAGUGUGAUGGAGUCCUUUUAAUAUAUGUCCACUAAACAUGCUCCAAACACUAAAUGUACAUACAUAAUAAACAUGGGUACGAGGACCCGUCGCGCCCCUAUACAAACAUAAACAACACUGACAUAAAACAAUCUCUGACAAAGACAUGAGGGGAAACCGAGGUUUAAAUACACAACAGGUAAUGAAUGGGAUUGAAACCAGGUGUGUAGGAAGACAAGACAAAACCAAUGGAAAAUGAAAAAUGGUGGCUAGAAGACCGGUGACGUCGACCGCCGAGCACCGCCCGAACAAGGAGAGGCAACGUCUUCGGCAAAAGUCUUGACAGUACCCCCCACCCCGGGCGCGUCGACACCGGCCUCUGGGACGACCCGGAGGGCGAGGUGCAGGGCGAUCCGGAUGGAGACUGUGGAAUUCUUUUAACAUGGAAGGAUCUAACACGUCCUCCACCGGAACCCAGCAUCUCUCCUCUGGCCCGUACCCCUCCCAGUCCACGAGGUACUGAAGGUACUGAAUAUGGAUCGAACAGAGUACGCCGGGACCCCCCCUUGAUGUCUAAAGGAGGCGGAGGAACAUCACGCACUUCAGCCUUCUGGAGCGGGCCAGCCACCAGCGGCCUGAGGAGAGACACAUGGAACCAGGGGUUAAUACGGUAAUUAGUGGGCAGUUGUAACCUAUAACAUACCUUGUUCACUCUCCUCAGGACUUUAAACGGCCCCACAAACCGCGGACCCAGCUUCCGCAGUUUGUAAGGUCGUAGGGAGACCGGGCAAAGGGAGGAGACAACAGGACUUAGAAAACCGAUCCACAACAACCAGGAUCGUGGUGUUACCCUGUGAAAGUGGAAGAUCAGUCAAAAAAUCCACCGACAGGUGCGACCACGGCCGUUGAGGAACGGGUAAAGGUUGUAGCUUACCUCUGGGCAGGUGUCUAGGAGCCUUGCACUGGGCACACACCGAGCAGGAGGAAACAUAAAUCUUCACAUCCUUAGCUAAAGUGGGCCACCAGUACCUCCCAUCAAGACGGCGCAUCGUCCGACCUAUCCCAGGAUGACCAGAGGAGGGUGAGGUGUGGGCCCAAUAGAUCAAUCGGUCGCGGACGGCAGACGGAAUGUACAGACGACCAGCUGGACACUCAGGGGGAGAGGGCUCUGCACGUGAUGCCCGCUCAAUGUCCGCGUCCAGCUCCCACACUACUGGCGCCACCAAACACGAAGCUGGAAGUAUGGGAGUGGGAUCCAUGGACCGCUCCUCUGUGUCAUACAGCCGGGACAAUGCGUCUGCCUUAAUGUUCUGGGAGCCUGGUCUGUAAGAAAGAGUAAACACAAAACGAGUGAAAAACAUGGUCCACCUUGCCUGACGAGGAUUCAGUCUCCUCGCUUCCCGGAUGUACUCCAGAUUGCGAGGGUCAGACUAGAUGAGAAAAGGGUGUUUAGCACCCUCAAGCCAAUGCCUCCACGCCUUCAAGGCUUUUACGACAGCUAAUAGCUCCCGGUCCCCCCCACAUCAUAGUUUUGCUCCUCCGGGCUGAGUUUCUUCGAAAAGAAAGCACGGGGCGGAGCUUCGGUGUAAGCUAAAGUUUAAGUCGGCUAAAGUUUAAAACACACACACACCUUCCCCAUCCACACAUGCAUGCACACCAGUGGAGGCUCAUAGGAGGACGGGCUCAUUGUAAUGGCUGGAAUGGAAUUAAUGGAACGGAGUCAAACGUGGUUUCCAUAUGUUUGAUCUGUUUGAUAAAGUUCCAUUAAAUCCAUUCCUGCCAUUACAAUGAUCCCAGCCUCAUAUAGCUCCUCUCACCAGCCUCC
Molecule: long non-coding RNA, 2413 nt
Organism: Oncorhynchus tshawytscha (Chinook salmon)
Lineage: Eukaryota; Metazoa; Chordata; Actinopteri; Salmoniformes; Salmonidae
Source: Ensembl